RNAcentral lists this long non-coding RNA (10596 nucleotides) under Homo sapiens (human). RNAcentral describes it as "non-protein coding lnc-HS3ST3B1-1:5". Lineage: Eukaryota; Metazoa; Chordata; Mammalia; Primates; Hominidae. The record is from RNAcentral.
ACUUUGCCUGUGUGGCCUCCAGUGGUCAGACAGAACCCAAAGGAAAAGAGCCAGGGUGCGGAUUGGCAGAAGCUAUUCUGGCCCAUGUGCAGAGCAUCAAGAAUGUGUGCUGCAAAAGAGUCUCUCUCUGUCACCCAGGCUGGAGUGCAGUGGCGCCAUCUCGGCUCACUGCAAGCUCCGCCUCCCGGGUUCAUGCCAUUCUCCUGCCUCAGCCUCCCGAGUAGCUGGGACUACAGGCGUCCGCCACCACGCCCAGAUCCCUAUCACGUCCUCGACUUUCCUGCAAGAGGCAGAUUAUUACAGUCCCCUGGGAGCCACUCAGGGGGAGUCUCAGGGCACAGAGGUUAUUUGAUUCAAUUACAAGAAAUCUGAUGAGUAUCUACAAGGAACUCAGAGCUGUGGGAGAAGAGAAAAAAGUGCAUGAAGUAAAGAAAAAGCAGGGAAUGAGAGAAAAAAAUGGAGGAGUGAGUGCCACAGCCCAGUCAGUAAGUGCUACGUAAAGUCUCACUCUGUCGCCAGGCUGGAGUGCAGUCAGCUCACUGCAACCUCCACCUCCCGGGUUCAAGAGAUUCUCCUGCCUCAGACUCCUGAGUAGCUGGGACUACAGAAAUUAUUACAGGAACUUUUUCUGGACAGACAAGAACCUAAGUCUGAACAUCUAAAAGGCUCACAAAGAAUCAAGCAAAUUUAUUGAAAGAGACCAAUACUUAUUAGACCUAUCUUCGUGAACUGAAGAUCGAGAAAAAAAUUCCAAGAGGCAUUUGGACAGAAAAGCAUGUUGACUCCACAGGAACAAAAAUCAAACUGCAUUCAAAAUUCUCCUCUGCAAUGUCUAAUAGCAGGAGAAAUAAAAUAGUACCAACAGAGCUUCAAGGGAAAAAGACUGCAUUCUAAGAAUCCUAUAUUUAGGAAGUUGUUCAAGUGAAAGGGUAAUGGAAGAAAUGUUCUUAGAUGUGCAACUCACUGUUAUAACCUUUUAAACAAAGCCCUCGAAGACCUGAUUUAACUGACAGUGAAUGAAUCUAAAUACAGAGCUGUGGGAUGUGAGAGUCACAUCAGUGACCACUGAAACAAGUAUAAAGAAAAUUAAGUCUAGAUGAUUGUUUUACAUAUAAUUAUAAAACAGAAUAAAAGUGUAAAACGCAACUCUUGGAAGAGGAUAUUUAUAGUAUAAAAAUGGCCUAAUUAUAAUAAUUUGAACCUAAUGUUUUGCCGCACAAAAAUAGAAAUGAAGGAGAUAGAAUGGUAGGAGAAAACACUUAUUUCCUCAUUAUUCCCAAGAGGGAUAUUAUUUAACUCUUGAUAAAGAUAACUGGAAAUACAAACAGGAUGUAUCCUUUCUAAAUUACUAAAAAAAAAAAAAAACAAAAAAAACAAAGAAAAUAAAUUCCAUGUAACAAUCAUACUUUAUGUAACACACUGAAGUUUUUGGUCUUUAAUCUUCUUAUCUCCAGAGAUUGCUGUGACUCCUCGUCCACUCUGUAUCAUAGCAUCACCUCCAGUAUCAUUAAUGCAAGGCACCCCAUUUCUGACCACAGCUUCCUUCUUUUCCUUCUUGGCUUUAUUUUUAUUUCUUUAUUUAUUUUUGAGACGGAGCCUCGCUCUGUUGGCCCAGGUUAGAGUGCAGUGCCAUGAUCUCAGCUCACUGAAACCUCCACCUCUCAGGUUCAAGCAAUUCUCCAGCCUCAGCCUCCUGAAUAGCUAGGAUUACAGGCACCUGCCACCAUGCCUGGCUAAUUUUAGUAUUUUUAGUAGAGACAGGGUUUUGCCACGUUGGCCAGGUUGGUCUUGAACUCCUGACCUCAGAUGACCUGCCUGCCUUAGCCUCCCAAAGUGCUGGGAUUACAGACAUGAGCCACUGAGCCUGGCCACGUUCUUGGCUUUUUAAUUGCAACCAUUGAAAUAGAUCUUGAUUUCACUGUGACCUCUAGCUUCUUUAUCUUCAAUUUGCCCCAUCCUUCAGCCGUCCCCUUUCUUUAGUUUUCUACCUGUCCAGGUUAGAUUUCAGGGUCCAUUGUUUCAGCGAUAGUACUGCCAAAAUCCUAAACUCCCUCGCCCCUUUGGGCUUUUGUCAGACCCCAUCUGGCCGAAGACCAUUCCCAGAGCAACCCACACUGUGUGCUGUCUCUCUUCUUGUAUUUAAGCAGCUGGAGAAAAACACAACAGAGCAGAUUGUACCAUCAUAUAUUCAUGAGCAUCCAUUCUGAAUGGGCACCACAGUGCCAGAAUCCUUCAGAUAUCUCUGGUCAAUCUAUAGUCCAGCAAUCCACAAUGACCAUUCCAGAUCUUCUCUAGCUUCCUUAAAUGCCCAACUUUCCUACCCAUCAACGGAUGCCUUUAUUUCAUAUUUCACAGAGAUAAUAGACACUGUCACAUAAGGCCACUCCCCCCACUCCACACCCCCAAAUCCUGCUACCAAACUCACUAACAUAACAGCAUCUGUACCCAUCUGGUCCUCCUUCCUGCCUAUUCCAUAGAGGAGCUGUUUUUCUUUCUGAAAGAGAUCAAUUCCUCACAUGUGCUUUAGACCCCAUCUCCUUUCUCCUUCGCAGGAAUCUUAUAAUUUAGGUGGUUCUGUAUCUCCUGAAUAUCCAAUCUCUUUUCAACCUCAUCAAUUGCUUCAAAUUGUAAACAUUAAGCAAAUUAUAUUCAGCUUUCAAAAAAAAAGGGAGGAAAUCCUGUCAUUUGGGACAACAUGGAUGAAACUAGAGGACGUUAUGGAAAAUGAAAUAAAGCAGACAUGGAAAGAAAAAUACUACAUGAUCUGACUUACAUGUGGAGUGUGAAAAAGAACUCAGAAGCAGGAAGUAGAAUGGUGGUUACCAGGGGUCUUAAGGGGUUGGAGGGUUGGGAAGAUGUUGGUCAAAGGACACAACAUUUCAGGAGGAAUAAGUUCAAGAGAGCUAUUGUUUCACACGGGAACUAUGGUUAAUAACAAUGUAUUGCAUUCUUGGAAAUUGCCAAGAGAGUAGAUUUUAAGCGUUCUCACAACAAAAAUGAUUAGUAUGUGAGGUAAUGCAUAUGUUACUCAGCUUAAUGUAGCCAUUCCACAGUAUGUACAAGUUUCAAAGCAACAUGUUGUAUAUAAUAAAUACAUAUAACUUUGGCAAUCAAAUCAAAUAAAUAAAAGAAAAUAAAAAUAAAUGGAGAGAUAUUAUAAAAAUUCUACUGCAUUAAUAGUCACUAAUUCCAGUGCUUUGUAUUCCUUUGUGGAAAGGUUUUCCAAUCGUGUGGCACUAUUGACUUUUUUUUUUUUUUUGGUGACGGAGUCUCGCUCUGUCACUCAGGCUGGAGUGCCGUAGCAUGAUCUCAGCUCAUUGCCAUCUCUGCCUCCCCGGGUUCAAGCCAUUCUCCUGUGUCAGCCUCCUGAGUAGCUGGGAUUACAGGCACAUGCCACCAUGCCCAGCUAGUUUUUGUAUUUUUAGUAGAGAUGGGGUUUCACUGUGUUGGUCAGGCUGGUCUCGAAUCCCUGACCUCAUGAUCCACCCGCCUCGGCCUCCCAAAGUGCUGGGAUUACAGGCAUGAGCCACCACACCCGACCAGCACUAUUGACAUUUGAGUCCAUGUAAUUCUCUGCUGUGGAGGCUGUCCUGGGCAAUGUAGGGUGUUAAGCAUCAUCCCUGACUUCUACCCAUUAGAUGUCAGUAGGACCCUCCCCGACCUGUGACAAAACUCCUGAUCUUCUUCUGUUUCCUCUAACCUCCUGAUCUUCUAUCUUCUCCCCUUUCCUCUAAACUCAGUCCACUCUAAAGAUCUUAGAGAAUGACAACAUUAUGCAUACAGUUAAUUGCACAAGACUGAAAUCAGAGAGUCAGCCUUGAUACCACCUUCUUCUUCAUUUUUCAUGUGUGAUUCAUCAUCAAAUCACAUUAUUUUUCACUUACUAAAUAUACCCCAAUCCCAUCCAUCUUAUUCUUUCUUCACUGCCACCUCACUAAUCCAAACUAUCAUAAUUUCUUAUCUGGACCACUGCAAUAAAUUCCUAACUUCAUCCUGCGUCUUUGACUUCCUUCCAACUUGUUUACACUAUAGCUAGUGUACUUUUCAAAAUAUAAAUCUUGCAAACCCCUCACCCCCACCAACUUAUAAUCUAAAUAACCAAUUAACCAACUUAUGUCUUUGUAGGUAUAAUCUCUGCAAUAUACUCCUAUUCAAAAGCUAAGAAAUAGGUAGGAUCCAAACUCAGGUCAAUUUAUGUCUAUAAAGAGACAGUUUUUGAGUACUUGAGUAAGUAUCAAUUCCAAAUGAGAGAGAACACUGAGUUUACAGGAGAGAAAGAGGAGAGAAUCAUAGGUGUGAUAGCAAGUGUUUGCACUGCACACACAUACAAAAAAUCAAGAGCUUCUUUCAAAUUUAUGCAGUUAAAUUUCGUGUUGGUUUGUUAUCCUUGGGAGAUGUCUAUACCUCCUAUUAGUUAUAGGGAUGAAGUAGAUAAGUAGAGGGUUAUGCAGGAGAAAGUUUAACAAAUCUUUGCUUUACAAGUAUGAUGUUCAGUCGCACUGAGACUGUUUUCUAAGUAUCUUGUGGGACACAAAUAGAAAGAUGAAUAGGAUGUUGUCCUGGUUUUCAAAGCUCUACUUGAAUUUUCCUGUCUCAUCAUUUACCUUUCCUGUCUCAUCCUUUGCAUUUCCUGUCUCAUCCUUUGCAUUUCCUGUCUCAUCCUUUGCAUUUCCCUUCUCAUCAUUUGCAUUACCUCUGCCAAUGCUUUCCACCUCCCAAAACUCCAUCAUUUCUUCCUUUUCCACUAACAUUUUGCACAUGGCUAUAUUGUCAUUUUUCCUAACCUAAGGGGAAAUAAAAAAUCCAACAAGACCUUGUUCAAAUCACAUUCCAAAUAAGGAGGAGGAAUGAGUUGUAAGAGUUUUAGAGGAAUUUUAAGCUCCUUUUUUUUUUUUUUUUUUUUUUUUUUUUUGAGAUGGAGUCUUGCUCUGUCACCCAGGUUGGAGUGCAAUGGCACAAUCUCAGCUCGCUGGCAACCUCUGCCUCCCCAUUUCAAGUGAUUCUACUGCCUCAGCCUCCUGAGUAGCUGGGACUACAGGCCUGCACCACCAUGCCUGGCUAAUUUUUCUAUUUUAGUAGAGAUGGGGUUUCACUGUGUUGGCAAGGUUGGUCUCAAAACUCAUGACCUCAAAUGAUCCGCCCACCUCAGCCUCCCAAAGUGCUGGGAUUACAGGUGUAAGCCACCGUGCCUAGCCUUAGGCUCUUUUCAUAAAGAACGGCCAAACACACACACACUAUCUGAAAUCAGAUGCAACACUUUCCAUUUGAAAUCUGUCUCUCUGAAUGGAAACAAUGAAGUGUUGCAAGUUUAUACUCUUGAAGUAAAUGAGGACCAAAAAUGGAUAAGGAAAAUAAAAUGGGAGAACUCUGAAAGAUCAGAGAAGGUGCUAUCAGGUGAUAGAAUCAGAUAAAAGGAUUUCCUAUAAGGCAUUCUGCUGGUAACUCUAUAAAAGGUGGCAUUGUUACUGUUGGGUAAAUAAAAGUUUUUGAUUUGAAGAACCCUCUCCACUCUUUCCUUUAAAAAGGGCAGGUGCCCGGGCGCGGUGGCUCAUGCCUGUAAUCCCAGCUUUUUGGGAGGCCGAGGCAGGAUCAUGAGGUCAGGAGAUCGAGACCAUCCUGGCUAACACGGUGAAGCCCCGUCUCUACUAAAAAUACAAAAAAUUAGCCGGGUGCGGUGGCGGGCGCCUGUAGUCCCAGCUACUGAGGAGGCUGAGGCAGGAGAAUGGCGUGAACCCGGGAGGCGGAGCUUGCAGUGAGCCGAGAUUGUGCCACUGCACUCCAGCCUGGGCGACAGAGCAAAACUCCCGUCUCAAAAAAUAAAAAAUAAAAUAAAAUUAAAAUUAAAAUUAAAAUUAAAAGGGGAGGCAACCAUUACAAUCUGGUAACAAGAAUGCUAACAUUUGAAAGCUUUGAUUCACUUCAAGUAUUGUCAAACACACACACACACAAACACACACAUACACAAAUCAAUCUUUUAACUUUGACUUCACAAAUAAAAAGCCUUCUUAUGCUGGGCUUAGAUCAGGGUGGCCGCCAGCAUGAAUUCAUGUCCUCUGUGAAGAAUGGAAUAUCAAAGUCAGAGAUUUCAGAUUGAAGAGUCCUUAGGGAACACUGGGUUUAGAGGUUUUGAAACUUUUUAAAGCACUGGAACACUUUCUUCAGUUAGAAUCCUACAUAGAAAACCAAUAUUUAAAAGAUGAGAGCAGAAGUGAGACUGAUGAGGUGGAAACAGGAGAAUUGGGUACAACGAACCCCAUUUCUGGUACCUUCCAGCCUCUGAGCAGGUAUCUGAAGCACUGUGUGGAACGCUGGGACUCUUUGGUGCAUUUUUUCACAACUUAGGACUUAGUCUUAUUCUCCUUGCUUACAAAUGAGGAAACUGAAGCACACUGAAUAAAAAUGUCUUGGCCAAGCGCCAUCACCUGUACAAAAACAGAUCCAAGGAUGACAACACCCCCUCGAUAUAGAUGAGUGGCUAAGUGCAUGCUCCCAAUGCUCUGAUUAUGAUGCCUCCUUAACAUUUGGUUGGUGGAGCAAGUUCCUUUUUGGGGACAGGAAGUUGUUGGAAGAUUAUUUAAAGGGUCAUGGAAGGAUCAUGGAAAUGAUGCAAGUGGAUGACAUGAAGGAAUGCAGCUUUGGUACCCUAUGCUGGGACCCAAAAAGAGCAGGCAAGGCAGAAUGUUGGUUGAAAAAAUAACAACAACAGCAUCAAAACCAGAUGUACACAUGCCUGCAUGUCCAAUUUUACAACUAAUGCUGUCGUCCUAUGGAUACCUCCUGGAAUGUAGGAGGAUUCUGUCAAUUAGGAUGUUCCAGGGCUGUGGCCAGUGUUGUAAGCAUGUCUCAUGAGACCCUGGGCUAGAAGCAAAAGCAAUGUCCAGGCUUCAAGUUAACACCACCUAAGUCCCAGACGGCUGCCCACUUCAGCAUUCUCUGUGGUAAUCUCUGGAGAUUGUGGGGUUCAGGCUCUCUUUCCCGUAUGCCACUUCUCCAUCUUUAGGGGCUGAAAUGACCAUGUUUGGCUCCCAGGUAAAUGGAUCAUGAGCUCCUCCUGAGUAUGACUCUCACCUUUCAUCAUUGUCUCCCUUGUGUCUGGCACAUUGAGCUGUAUACAGAGCGGCCCUCGAUAAAAGUCAUACCCAGAGCUUCAGAAGUGGUCUUGUUGGAAUGGAGUUUCCUGGCAGAAACUAAGCUGAGUGGUAGAAUGAAGACACGGUAUUGGGAGGUAGAAAUGGAACUGGCUAAUAAUAUUGACUCCACCACUAACUUAUUGUCAGAUUUUGGGAAGAUGAUGUAUGCUCCUUAGGUUUUAGUUCCUGAACUGUAAAGUGAAGAAGACCAACUGGAUCAUUUCCAGGGUCCUGUCCAGCCUGAGUCCUCAUAUGUGGGCCUCGUUUGCCUAAUGACAAUAGCUACCAGUAUAUUUCUGGAGUGUUCACUCAUGCAAGGUUUAUCUAUUCAUCAUGACACCUUGCAGUGUAGGGGGAUUAUCCCACCAUUCACAUAAGGAAAUCUGGAGGAGAAGAGAGGAAGUGCGUAAGUUUACGUGCUCAGUCAAAAAUAGGAUUGGGAUUUAAAGUCAGAUUUACCUGACUCUAAAUCUCCCUUCGCUAUGCUCCACUGCCCCAAAUUUAGGAUGAGAAAUGAAAGGGGUGGGGGGCACUGUAAUGAGGUGACCUUGUAAAUCAUUCCAGACCGACUUUGUCCCCACCCACACCUUGCUCAGAAGAAUCAUCUCUAACCUCCAGCCUCUGCUUCCAUCACUGCUGGGGACAGGAAGCUUAUCCUCUUCACACAGCACAAUUUUAGGCCAGUUCUAAUUAUUAAAUGGUUCUUCUUAAAAUUUCUUCUCUUAUAUUUUCAGCUUCCAGGCCUUGGUUCUGCUCCCUGGGGCCGCUUCUUGGUGAAAUAUUCUCCCUGCCAAUGAGCAGGUUUUGACUUUCACGGAGAGUCAGAAUGUGAGAUGGCUUUAGCUAUGCCAGGAUUUCUAGGUUAUUUUUAACCGAGGGGUUUGGGCUUGAAUCAGAUCUUUUUUGAAACUCAGUGUUUCCAUUGGUUCUGCAAGAGGCUCCCUGGCACAUACGGUAGCCUAAGUUUCUCAGUUUCUCGUUCUCUGCAGAAAAAAAUUGUCCAUUGUGCCAGUGUUAAGGUUCCUAGCUGGAUAUAUUGAGACCCAUAGUCUCUGGACCAAGUUUCCCUUUGAAAGUGGUACAUGCACGGAGGGCCCAUGGUGUUUUGUCAUAAUCAUGCCUUUUUUCUUGCUAAGUGACAUUGAGGUAUGAUUUUGUGCUCGAGAAAGCACCGGGGCAUCCCAUACCUUCCUGUACCACGUGUGCUCUGAGCUUGGUUUCCUGUGUUAGUUCCUGUGUGUUUCUAGUGUGUUUGAGUUUGCUCUGUUAGGGGGCAGGGUGUUGGCAGCUGAGGCACACUUCAAAACAAGUGUGGAGCUGAGCCGGGAGAGAAGAAGUGGCGUGAACAUCCCCAGGGACGAAUACCCAGGAGGAACUGAACGAUGCUUGUGCUGAACUGCAGACAGAACUCAAGCAUGCCAUUAAAAUGCUUCCCCUCCCCCAAGAGUGAUGCCCACCGCCUCCAGAUAAAAGCUGGGAGGUACACAUUCAUUUGCAAGCAUCAAUUGAAUUUAUGUUAAAAUUUAAAAGUCUGGCAUAUGAAAUGAUAUGAGAAGAAAGGUGCUUUAUGGUUUCCAAAAAAUGUGAUAUUUACUUCUGUGAAAAUGCUCAGGGUCCAGGUGGUUUGACAUUUCUUUAUUGUUCCUUUCAGUCUAUGCCCAGGCUGGCCCACAGGGGCCCUGGUGGAGCCCUUUCCCUCCCCCUCACUUCCUCUUCUUGUUUUCUGCUCUUGUCUCUCUUUUCUAAGCUGCUGAACCUCGAAUGUUUUGAGAAGUCCCAUUUUAUUCCACAUUCCCUGUUAUUUACUCUGUAGCACCCACAGGCAAAUGAAUUUCUCUUGCUGAUAUUGAUCUCUUCUUAUAGCAUCAUGGAGAUACAUUGUUAUUCUGGAAACAUUGUCCCUGAAGUUUCCAAGGCUGAAGGUGGGGAGAGACAGAGUGUCUCCUCCUGCCACACACACCUAUAUUACUCCAGAAUAAAGGAUAGGAGAGCAAGAUAGAAGGGAUGAAGAACAGGCCAAAAUGAGGAAGUUCAGAGAAGAUAUGAUUCCUAAGAGAAGACCUCAAAGUCCGCUUAGAAACCAGAGCUUGCACCAGCCUGGGCAACAGAGCAAGACGACUUAUCUACAAAAAAUAAAAUGAAAUAGUUGUGCACAGUGCUGUGUGUCUGUAGUCCUAGCUACUUGGGAGGCUGAGGUGGGAGGAUUGCUUGAGCCCAAGAGUUUGAGGCUACAGUGAGCUCUGAUCAUGCCACUGCACUCUAGCUUUGGUGACAAGAGAGACCCUGCAUCUUAAAAAAAAAAUGUAACCAGAGCUUGUGGAUCAGAGACUGGAUCAUAGAGGGACAGAAUAUAAUACCCUCUGUGUCUGUCCCAGGCUGGGACCAUGCCUUCCACAGGCUUCGGCUAGAGAACUUCUGAAGAACUACAUUAGACCUGGCUCCAUAUAGGGGUUCUGGUCAUGGAUGACACUAAUCCUUCAAUUCUUUCAACUUGACCAAGUCCAUUUUUCUUGGCUUUGUUUUUUUGUUUUUUGUUUGUUUGUUUGUUUGUUUGUUUUUGAGACAGAGUCUCACUCUGUCACCAGGCUGGAGUGCAGUGGCACGAUCUCAGCUCUCUGUAGCCUCUGCCUCCUUGGUUCAAGGGAUUCUCCCGCCUUAGCCUCCCGACUAGCUGGGACUACAGGAGCGCACCACCGCGCCUGGCUAAUUUUUGUAUUUUUAGUAGAGAUGGGGUUUUACCGUGUUGGCCAGGAUGGUCUCCAUCUCCUGACCUUGUGAUCCACCUGCCUCGUCCUCCCGAAGUGCUGGAAUUACAGGCGUGAGCCACGGCGCCCAGCCCUCUUGGUUCCUUUUGAAAGCCCUGUAACAAGUUCUCUGAAGUCACUCUUCUCAUACCUUUAGAGUCUUUGCUUUUUACUUCAUAUAAAAGGCAGGGGUUUGGGCACUGGAUCCUUCACUUAUGUCCACAUUUACCCCAGUAAAUUUCCAUUUCCUACAACUGCCUUCUCUUUUUGCAGGGAUCACAGAAAUUGCUUACAUUUUCUAAACCCAGCCUUUCCAUCUGAGCCCUUAGGACAAACCUAUUUUCAACUUCAAGUUGCUCAUCUCUCUUUCUACAAGGUUUCUCCUUUCUUCUCCCCAUGUUGCUUCAACAAGUGAACGUCCUUCCACCUUAGUCGGGAGAGCGGGGCAAGAGGAGUUCUGAUCUGUAUACUGUUGUCUUGACUGUAUUACAUUCUGUCUUUUCCUUCAAACUUCUUCUGUUUAACUUGCUGCAAUUCACACUUACUGCAUUAUAGAAGUCCCCUUGCCACUUUCUUUUAAGUAGUUUAGACUCCACUUAUAUUUGGUCAAUAAUGUUUUAAUUAGAAAAUAUAAAAAUCGGCCGGGCGCGGUGGCUCACACCUGUAAUCCCAGCACUUUGGGAGGCCGAGGCGGGUGGAUCAUGAGGUCAGGAGAUCGAGAC